CAGUCGCCGCAGUAAUACGGAGGGAGCUAGCGUUGUUCGGAAUUACUGGGCGUAAAGCGCACGUAGGCGGAUCGAUCAGUCAGGGGUGAAAUCCCAGGGCUCAACCCUGGAACUGCCUUUGAUACUGUCGAUCUGGAGUAUGGAAGAGGUGAGUGGAAUUCCGAGUGUAGAGGUGAAAUUCGUAGAUAUUCGGAGGAACACCAGUGGCGAAGGCGGCUCACUGGUCCAUUACUGACGCUGAGGUGCGAAAGCGUGGGGAGCAAACAGGAUUAGAUACCCCAGUAGUCCCUGUCUCUUAUAA
This 301-nucleotide ribosomal RNA is filed under the name uncultured bacterium. RNAcentral describes it as "partial 16S ribosomal RNA". It matches the Rfam family "Bacterial small subunit ribosomal RNA", at positions 509 to 809 of the family's 1533-position model. The record is from RNAcentral.